UUUUGGCAAUGCCUUAUAGUUUCUCCCUGCAAUGUCUAACUUUUCAUUUUAUUUAAAAACUUUUACGAUUAAUAUUUUUAUUGUUAUUAAAUGAUAAAACAUGAAUAAUACUUUAUGUAUGACUAACUUUUUUAAAAAAAUUUAAUAAAAUUUUCAAAAUAAAAUGGAUGGUCAAAUACUAGACAUGAAAACU
RNAcentral lists this microRNA precursor (193 nucleotides) under Oryza brachyantha (malo sina). Its description in RNAcentral is "MIR812 microRNA precursor family". It matches the Rfam family "MIR812 microRNA precursor family". Lineage: Eukaryota; Viridiplantae; Streptophyta; Magnoliopsida; Poales; Poaceae. The record is from Rfam by way of RNAcentral.